AAAGACGUAGUAUAAAAAAUACAUUUCACUUACACUGAAAAUAUAUUUAAGGAAUAAAUCGUCUUUA
Molecule: transfer RNA, 67 nt
Filed under: Conus gloriamaris
Lineage: Eukaryota; Metazoa; Mollusca; Gastropoda; Neogastropoda; Conidae
Description: tRNA-Val
Source: RNAcentral